Molecule: ribosomal RNA, 499 nt
Filed under: uncultured bacterium
Lineage: Bacteria
Description: bacterial SSU rRNA
Rfam family: Bacterial small subunit ribosomal RNA
Source: RNAcentral
ACGAACGCUGGCGGCGUGCCUAAUACAUGCAAGUCGAGCGGAAUGAUGAAGAAGCUUGCUUCUUCUGAUUUUAGCGGCGGACGGGUGAGUAACACGUGGGCAACCUACCUUGUAGAUUGGGAUAACUCCGGGAAACCGGGGCUAGUACCGAAUAAUCCAUUUUGCUUCAUGGCGAGAUGUUGAAAGACGGUUUCGGCUGUCACUAUAAGAUGGGCCCGCGGCGCAUUAGCUAGUUGGUAGGGUAAUGGCCUACCAAGGCGACGAUGCGUAGCCGACCUGAGAGGGUGAUCGGCCACACUGGGACUGAGACACGGCCCAGACUCCUACGGGAGGCAGCAGUAGGGAAUCUUCCACAAUGGACGAAAGUCUGAUGGAGCAACGCCGCGUGAGCGAAGAAGGUUUUCGGAUCGUAAAACUCUGUUGUAAGGGAAGAACACGUACGAGAGUAACUGCUCGUACCUUGACGGUACCUUAUUAGAAAGCCACGGCUAACUACGUG